AGUGAACGCUGGCGGUAGGCCUAACACAUGCAAGUCGAACGGCAGCACAGUAAGAGCUUGCUCUUACGGGUGGCGAGUGGCGGACGGGUGAGGAAUACAUCGGAAUCUACUUUUUCGUGGGGGAUAACGUAGGGAAACUUACGCUAAUACCGCAUACGACCUACGGGUGAAAGCAGGGGAUCUUCGGACCUUGCGCGAUUGAAUGAGCCGAUGUCGUAUUAGCUAGUUGGCGGGGUAAAGGCCCACCAAGGCGCCGAUCCGUAGCUGGUCUGAGAGGAUGAUCAGCCACACUGGAACUGAGACACGGUCCAGACUCCUACGGGAGGCAGCAGUGGGGAAUAUUGGACAAUGGGCGCAAGCCUGAUCCAGCCAUACCGCGUGGGUGAAGAAGGCCUUCGGGUUGUAAAGCCCUUUUGUUGGGAAAGAAAAGCAGCAGGUUAAUACCCCGCUGUUCUGACGGUACCCAAAGAAUAAGCACCGGCUAACUUCGUG
This 492-nucleotide ribosomal RNA is filed under the name uncultured bacterium. Its description in RNAcentral is "partial 16S ribosomal RNA". It matches the Rfam family "Bacterial small subunit ribosomal RNA", at positions 29 to 507 of the family's 1533-position model. The record is from RNAcentral.